CGCGUAGGUGGUUCGAUCAGUCGGAGGUGAAAUCCCUUGGCUCAACCAAGGAUCCGCGUCCGAUACUGUCGAACUUGAGUGCAGGAGAGGAGAGCGGAAUUCCCAGUGUAGCGGUGAAAUGCGUAGAUAUUGGGAGGAACACCGGUGGCGAAGGCGGCUCUCUGGACUGCCACUGACACUGAGGCGCGAAAGCUAGGGGAGCAAACGGGAUUAGAUACCCCGGUAGUCCUAGCCGUAAACGAUGGGCACUAGGUGUGGGAGGUAUCGACCCCUUCCGUGCCGCAGCUAACGCAUUAAGUGCCCCGCCUGGGGAGUACGGCCGCAAGGUUGAA
RNAcentral lists this ribosomal RNA (332 nucleotides) under uncultured bacterium. Its description in RNAcentral is "bacterial SSU rRNA". It matches the Rfam family "Bacterial small subunit ribosomal RNA", at positions 568 to 898 of the family's 1533-position model. The record is from RNAcentral.